UACGGGGGGGGCAAGCGUUGUUCGGAAUUACUGGGCGUAAAGGGCGCGUAGGCGGCCUUCUAAGUCGGACGUGAAAUCCCUCGGCUUAACCGAGGAACUGCGUCCGAUACUGAAAGGCUUGAAUCCGGGAGAGGGAUGUGGAAUUCCAGGUGUAGCGGUGGAAUGCGCAGAUAUCAGGAGGAACACCGAUGGCGAAGGCAGAUCUCUGGGCCGUAACUGACGCUGAGGAGCGAAAGCGUGGGGAGCGAACAGG
Molecule: ribosomal RNA, 253 nt
Filed under: uncultured bacterium
Lineage: Bacteria
Description: partial 16S ribosomal RNA
Rfam family: Bacterial small subunit ribosomal RNA
Source: RNAcentral